This 2902-nucleotide ribosomal RNA is filed under the name Escherichia coli. Its description in RNAcentral is "bacterial LSU rRNA". The record is from RNAcentral. Lineage: Bacteria; Pseudomonadati; Pseudomonadota; Gammaproteobacteria; Enterobacterales; Enterobacteriaceae.
UUAAGCGACUAAGCGUACACGGUGGAUGCCCUGGCAGUCAGAGGCGAUGAAGGACGUGCUAAUCUGCGAUAAGCGUCGGUAAGGUGAUAUGAACCGUUAUAACCGGCGAUUUCCGAAUGGGGAAACCCAGUGUGWUUCGWCACACUAUCAUUAACUGAAUCCAUAGGUUAAUGAGGCGAACCGGGGGAACUGAAACAUCUAAGUACCCCGAGGAAAAGAAAUCAACCGAGAUUCCCCCAGUAGCGGCGAGCGAACGGGGAGSAGCCCAGAGCCUGAAUCAGUGUGUGUGUUAGUGGAAGCGUCUGGAAAGGCGCGCGAUACAGGGUGACAGCCCCGUACACAAAAAUGCACAURCUGUGAGCUCGAUGAGUAGGGCGGGACACGUGGUAUCCUGUCUGAAUAUGGGGGGACCAUCCUCCAAGGCUAAAUACUCCUGACUGACCGAUAGUGAACCAGUACCGUGAGGGAAAGGCGAAAAGAACCCCGGCGAGGGGAGUGAAAAAGAACCUGAAACCGUGUACGUACAAGCAGUGGGAGCACGCUUAGGCGUGUGACUGCGUACCUUUUGUAUAAUGGGUCAGCGACUUAUAUUCUGUAGCAAGGUUAACCGAAUAGGGGAGCCGAAGGGAAACCGAGUCUUAACUGGGCGUUAAGUUGCAGGGUAUAGACCCGAAACCCGGUGAUCUAGCCAUGGGCAGGUUGAAGGUUGGGUAACACUAACUGGAGGACCGAACCGACUAAUGUUGAAAAAUUAGCGGAUGACUUGUGGCUGGGGGUGAAAGGCCAAUCAAACCGGGAGAUAGCUGGUUCUCCCCGAAAGCUAUUUAGGUAGCGCCUCGUGAAUUCAUCUCCGGGGGUAGAGCACUGUUUCGGCAAGGGGGUCAUCCCGACUUACCAACCCGAUGCAAACUGCGAAUACCGGAGAAUGUUAUCACGGGAGACACACGGCGGGUGCUAACGUCCGUCGUGAAGAGGGAAACAACCCAGACCGCCAGCUAAGGUCCCAAAGUCAUGGUUAAGUGGGAAACGAUGUGGGAAGGCCCAGACAGCCAGGAUGUUGGCUUAGAAGCAGCCAUCAUUUAAAGAAAGCGUAAUAGCUCACUGGUCGAGUCGGCCUGCGCGGAAGAUGUAACGGGGCUAAACCAUGCACCGAAGCUGCGGCAGCGACGCUKAUGCGUUGUUGGGUAGGGGAGCGUUCUGUAAGCCUGUGAAGGUGUGCUGUGAGGCAUGCUGGAGGUAUCAGAAGUGCGAAUGCUGACAUAAGUAACGAUAAAGCGGGUGAAAAGCCCGCUCGCCGGAAGACCAAGGGUUCCUGUCCAACGUUAAUCGGGGCAGGGUGAGUCGACCCCUAAGGCGAGGCCGAAAGGCGUAGUCGAUGGGAAACAGGUUAAUAUUCCUGUACUUGGUGUUACUGCGAAGGGGGGACGGAGAAGGCUAUGUUGGCCGGGCGACGGUUGUCCCGGUUUAAGCGUGUAGGCUGGUUUUCCAGGCAAAUCCGGAAAAUCAAGGCUGAGGCGUGAUGACGAGGCACUACGGUGCUGAAGCAACAAAUGCCCUGCUUCCAGGAAAAGCCUCUAAGCAUCAGGUAACAUCAAAUCGUACCCCAAACCGACACAGGUGGUCAGGUAGAGAAUACCAAGGCGCUUGAGAGAACUCGGGUGAAGGAACUAGGCAAAAUGGUGCCGUAACUUCGGGAGAAGGCACGCUGAUAUGUAGGUGAAGUCCCUCGCGGAUGGAGCUGAAAUCAGUCGAAGAUACCAGCUGGCUGCAACUGUUUAUUAAAAACACAGCACUGUGCAAACACGAAAGUGGACGUAUACGGUGUGACGCCUGCCCGGUGCCGGAAGGUUAAUUGAUGGGGUCAGCGCAAGCGAAGCUCUUGAUCGAAGCCCCGGUAAACGGCGGCCGUAACUAUAACGGUCCUAAGGUAGCGAAAUUCCUUGUCGGGUAAGUUCCGACCUGCACGAAUGGCGUAAUGAUGGCCAGGCUGUCUCCACCCGAGACUCAGUGAAAUUGAACUCGCUGUGAAGAUGCAGUGUACCCGCGGCAAGACGGAAAGACCCCGUGAACCUUUACUAUAGCUUGACACUGAACAUUGAGCCUUGAUGUGUAGGAUAGGUGGGAGGCUUAGAAGUGUGGACGCCAGUCUGCAUGGAGCCGACCUUGAAAUACCACCCUUUAAUGUUUGAUGUUCUAACGUUGACCCGUAAUCCGGGUUGCGGACAGUGUCUGGUGGGUAGUUUGACUGGGGCGGUCUCCUCCUAAAGAGUAACGGAGGAGCACGAAGGUUGGCUAAUCCUGGUCGGACAUCAGGAGGUUAGUGCAAUGGCAUAAGCCAGCUUGACUGCGAGCGUGACGGCGCGAGCAGGUGCGAAAGCAGGUCAUAGUGAUCCGGUGGUUCUGAAUGGAAGGGCCAUCGCUCAACGGAUAAAAGGUACUCCGGGGAUAACAGGCUGAUACCGCCCAAGAGUUCAUAUCGACGGCGGUGUUUGGCACCUCGAUGUCGGCUCAUCACAUCCUGGGGCUGAAGUAGGUCCCAAGGGUAUGGCUGUUCGCCAUUUAAAGUGGUACGCGAGCUGGGUUUAGAACGUCGUGAGACAGUUCGGUCCCUAUCUGCCGUGGGCGCUGGAGAACUGAGGGGGGCUGCUCCUAGUACGAGAGGACCGGAGUGGACGCAUCACUGGUGUUCGGGUUGUCAUGCCAAUGGCACUGCCCGGUAGCUAAAUGCGGAAGAGAUAAGUGCUGAAAGCAUCUAAGCACGAAACUUGCCCCGAGAUGAGUUCUCCCUGACYCYUURAGRGUCCUGAAGGAACGUUGAAGACGACGACGUUGAUAGGCCGGGUGUGUAAGCGCAGCGAUGCGUUGAGCUAACCGGUACUAAUGAACCGUGAGGCUUAACCUU